AGUGGGAUAGCUGGGUCAAAUGGUGGUUCCAUUCCAAGUUUUCUAAAGUGUCUCCAUACUGCUUUCCAGAGUGGUUGCACCAAUUUGCAUUCUCACUAGCAAU
RNAcentral lists this microRNA precursor (103 nucleotides) under Marmota monax (woodchuck). Lineage: Eukaryota; Metazoa; Chordata; Mammalia; Rodentia; Sciuridae. The record is from RNAcentral.